Molecule: ribosomal RNA, 468 nt
Filed under: uncultured bacterium
Lineage: Bacteria
Description: partial 16S ribosomal RNA
Rfam family: Bacterial small subunit ribosomal RNA
Source: RNAcentral
GACGAACGCUGGCGGCGUGCUUAACACAUGCAAGUCGAACGGAAAGGCCCUGCUUUUGUGGGGUGCUCGAGUGGCGAACGGGUGAGUAACACGUGAGUAACCUGCCCUUGACUUUGGGAUAACUUCAGGAAACUGGGGCUAAUACCGGAUAGGAGCUCCUGCUGCAUGGUGGGGGUUGGAAAGUUUCGGCGGUUGGGGAUGGACGCGCGGCUUAUCAGCUUGUUGGUGGGGUAGCGGCUUACCAAGGCUGUGACGGGUAGCCGGCCUGAGAGGGUGACCGGCCACAUUGGGACUGAGAUACGGCCCAGACUCCUACGGGAGGCAGCAGUGGGGAAUAUUGCACAAUGGGCGGAAGCCUGAUGCAGCAACGCCGCGUGCGGGAUGACGGCUUUCGGGUUGUAAACCGCUUUCGCCUGUGACGAAGCGUGAGUGACGGUAAUGGGUAAAGAAGCACCGGCUAACUACGUG